This 428-nucleotide ribosomal RNA is filed under the name uncultured bacterium. Its description in RNAcentral is "bacterial SSU rRNA". It matches the Rfam family "Bacterial small subunit ribosomal RNA", at positions 917 to 1359 of the family's 1533-position model. The record is from RNAcentral.
GGACCCGCACAAGCGGUGGAUCAUGUUCUUUAAUUCGAGGGUAAACGAUAAACCUUACCAGGGCUUGACAUCUAGGGAAGGACUACGAAAGUAGACUGUGCCUUUUGGAACCCUAUGACAGGUGAUGCAUGGCCGUCGUCAGCUCGUGUCGUGAGAUGUUUGGUUAAGUCCAUCAACGAGCGCAACCCUUGCAAGUAGUUGUAUUUUUCUACUUGGACUGCCCCGGUAACGGGGAGGAAGGAGGGGAUGAUGUCAGGUCAGUAUUUCCCUUACGUCCUGGGCUAGAAACGUGAUACAAUGGCAAGUACAAUGCGCGGCGAAGCCGCGAGGUGAAGCAAAUCGCAUCAAAACUUGUCCCAGUUCGGAUUGGAGGCUGAAACUCGCCUCCAUGAAGUCGGAAUCGCUAGUAAUCGCAGAUCAGCAUGUUG